RNAcentral lists this ribosomal RNA (466 nucleotides) under uncultured bacterium. Its description in RNAcentral is "partial 16S ribosomal RNA". It matches the Rfam family "Bacterial small subunit ribosomal RNA", at positions 29 to 506 of the family's 1533-position model. The record is from RNAcentral.
ACGAACGCUGGCGGCGCGCUUAACACAUGCACGUCGAACGGAAAGGCCCUGCUUUUGUGGGGUGCUCGAGUGGCGAACGGGUGAGUAACACGUGAGUAACCUGCCCUUGACUUUGGGAUAACUUCAGGAAACUGGGGCUAAUACCGGAUAGGAGCUCCUGCUGCAUGGUGGGGGUUGGAAAGUUUCGGCGGUUGGGGAUGGACUCGCGGCUUAUCAGCUUGUUGGUGGGGUAGUGGCUUACCAAGGCUUUGACGGGUAGCCGGCCUGAGAGGGUGACCGGCCACAUUGGGACUGAGAUACGGCCCAGACUCCUACGGGAGGCAGCAGUGGGGAAUAUUGCACAAUGGGCGGAAGCCUGAUGCAGCAACGCCGCGUGCGGGAUGACGGCCUUCGGGUUGUAAACCGCUUUCGCCUGUGACGAAGCGUGAGUGACGGUAAUGGGUAAAGAAGCACCGGCUAACUACGU